UAUGGCAGAAUAGUGCAAUGGAUUUAAACCCCAUAUAUAAAAUUGAAAUUUUUAUUAAAA
This 60-nucleotide transfer RNA is filed under the name Andrena carlini. Its description in RNAcentral is "tRNA-Leu". Lineage: Eukaryota; Metazoa; Arthropoda; Insecta; Hymenoptera; Andrenidae. The record is from RNAcentral.